GUUGUACUCACUUUUGUGAGAAACUCUAUAUAUAUAUAUAUAUAUAUAUAUAUAUAUAUAUAUAUAUAUAUAUAUAUAUAUAUAUAUAUAUAUAUAUAGAGUUUCUCACAAAAGUGAGUACAAC
Pelobates cultripes (western spadefoot toad) is the source of this 124-nucleotide non-coding RNA. NCBI's taxonomy places the organism in Eukaryota, Metazoa, Chordata, Amphibia, Anura, Pelobatidae. The record is from the annotation of a GenBank genome assembly.